UACGUAGGGGGCGAGCGUUGUCCGGAUUCAUUGGGCGUAAAGGGUGCGUAGGCGGGUUCUUAAGUCAGAGGUGAAAUCCUGGAGCUCAACUCCAGAACUGCCUUUGAUACUGAGAGUCUUGAGUAUGACAGAGGUGAGUGGAACUGCGAGUGUAGAGGUGAAAUUCGUAGAUAUUCGCAAGAACACCAGUGGCGAAGGCGGCUCACUGGGUCAUUACUGACGCUGAGGCACGAAAGCGUGGGGAGCAAACAGG
This 253-nucleotide ribosomal RNA is filed under the name uncultured bacterium. Its description in RNAcentral is "partial 16S ribosomal RNA". It matches the Rfam family "Bacterial small subunit ribosomal RNA", at positions 524 to 776 of the family's 1533-position model. The record is from RNAcentral.